AAAACAUGAUUAGAGAGAUAAAUAUGUUUCAUAUAUAGUAUAGAUGGGUAAAAAUCCCUUAUCUAAUUUCCUUUUCGGGAUUAUCCAUCUGCAUAUGUAGGCCCUGUUUGUCCAUAAAUUAUUUUUUUUUUUUUCAAAAAUGUGUUUGUCCAUGAAAUUUUAGAAGUUUAUGGAAAUUUUCGAAAAUGAGUUUUUCAAAAACCAUAAAAUGGUUUUGACCAGGUUUUCAAAAUUUUGAGAAAAAGAAUUUUCAGAAAAACUUUUUUCCUCACUCACAAAACUGCAAUAUUUUUUCAAGUGAAUGUUACACCCCCUUUUUUUUACGUCACUAACCCUCUUUAAAAGAUAAAGAAGAUUUUUAAGCUCAAAAGGGUUUUCAAGACAAAAAAAUUGUGUUUCAAAGGAUUUUCAGAGUCGCCACCUGACAUUUGAUUUCGAUGUGCCAGGUCAUCGUUAAAAAAUAAUUUUUCCUUUUGAAAACACAUCUAGACUCUAAAACAUAGUCUGCACCAGAGAUUCUAGAUAAGGGGGUUCAUUUGACUCGGGGAGAAGGUAUUAGGCAUUCCCCAAGUCCCGUAACUAGUACGGUUGCGUACUCGAUCAAGUUGGCUUUAAAGAAUAUUCUAAUGGAGGCAAAAACACGGAAAAAGAAAAAUAAGCACAAAAAAGGCUCGAGGUCGUCCCCACCUAAUAAAAGAAAAAUAAGAGAAAAGAAAAGGAAGUACUAAAAGAAAAAAAAUACUAAGAGUUAUAAUCUAUCUUACGCUAUGCUUCCUCCGCGAUGUAGCCGGGCCUCUAUUUACAUUCACAUCAGGGCAUAACCCGGAUAAAAAUAUAUACAAACUCUUCGGGGCAUUCCCCUGAUGAAACCAUAAUAAACUAAAGGGGAACGACCUCUUACCUCGAAAAUUCAAACAAAAUCCUAAGGUUUGCCUACCUAAGUGUGGUCGGCCUAGGCAUGCUCAUACCCGAAAAAGUAAAUAAAACAAGACUAGAAGAACAAUACAAUUAUCUUGAACCUAAAUUUCUUUUAAUUUUACACAGCAAUCCAAAUAAUGAAAUCAAUCCAAAAUAAGUUUUUAAGUUGGAACUCCUUACUUCAUUAAAGCUAAAUCGCAUUCGGUUGAAGCCGUAAGAUAAAAAAAAUAAUGCCAGCAAGCCUACUUUAAAGCAUGUACACAACAAAGAAAAACAUUCUUAUUUUCACUUUCACGUCAUUAGCCAAUCCAGUUACCAAACUCAAGCAAAUUUCAUCAAAGGAUCAAAAGGUAUCACAAAUAAUCAUGAAAACCAUAUGAAUCAACCAUUCAAACACAUAUAUGACAAAAAUCAAGAGGUAGAAUAUUAAAGAUAGAAAUUGACCUUUAAGUAGCUUUUCAAUAGCAAAAUUUCAUCCAAACAGCUUUACACUCGCUCAAGCGAGGAAAGAAUCCGUCGACGGGAACUCGACAGAGUAGCAAACCGCAAUAACUAUUGGACAGGAACCGCGAAUCAGCCCGUGAGCGAACCCAGAACUCGAAAACCUCGAACGGACCGCCGUGUGUACUCAAUGAAGAAGAAAGACCUUAAAAAUAGAUAGUGUAUCCAUGGUCCUAUGUGCCGCCGCGGCUUUAUUCAUCGGUCCUUAACUCGAACUCAAUUCUCUCACGACGUAAGCCAUGGUUUGUUCGGUGUGAGUAGAAAGCAGAAUAACAGGGUCUUUUUCUCAACGCGCUUAGCUUUUAUCAGUGGUUCGAUCAGAGAGCGAAAAAUACUAGGAGGAGGAGAGAGAGAUAAAAUGGCAGUAGUCCGGCGGGUUUGAGAUGGCCGGUGGCGGCAGACUUGAGAGGAGAGAGCGUGGCCGUUUUGGACUUGCUGCUGGCGGCGUCGCCAUUCGCCGGUGAUCAAUUCCGGCGAGGCAAUAACUCGGGUGAAGGAGAUGGCAGAGGCGGGUGAGGAGGGUGGUCGUUGGGUGUUGAGGGGGUGCUGCUGCGUGUGUAUCUAUGUGCUCGAAUUUUUGGCGAGUGAGCAGCAACCUUGUCUAUCAAAUGAAGAGAGAGCUUUGAAGAUGAAGAGGCGACCGGAUCUUGGAGAGGAGGGGUGUGGCUCUCUUUAGAAUGGAGGAGUUCCCUUAGGGUUUUGGGUGUUAAUUUGGCUUUUAUAUGGUGGUGAGGAGUAAGUAUUGGCCAUUGGAUUAAACAUAAUGAGUGGCCAAGAUUUAAUCUUGCAUUUAAGUGGAGAAUGGACUAAUGGGUUGGGAAGAAUGAGCCUUUGUCUUGUUGGGCCACUAAAAUCUGAAAAUGAGCUCCUAAUUGGCCCAAAUUUAAUUCUUUCUCAAUGAACAAAAAUAAAAAUAAAUAUACUACUAAAAUAUACUAAUUAAUCUUAGUUAAUAAUAAUAAACUAUUAAAGUGAACUAUAUAUUAAAAUGAAAAUAUUUUUGGUAUUUUUUAAAUGUUAUAAAAAAGGUAGAGAAAACUAUUUAAAGUAAUGGUAAAAAUUAAAAUACUAAUAAGCUUAAAUAAAUAAAAAAAGGAUAAAAAUAAAAAGAUAUAUAAUAAGAGAAGAAAUAUUAUAAAACUAUUUUUUGUGUUUUUAAACUUAUGUUUUAAAAUAAAAAUUAAAAGUUGACUGAAAUCCUAUUAAAAUGAAAAUAAGUAAAUAUUUUAAAAUACUACUUUUAAAAGUUGCACGGGUCAAUCAUUGCGUGCUUACAACUGCCCCUCUUUGCUUGGAAACACGAAGAGUUUUCGGAGUAAAGAACAAUAAGCAACGUAAUUGAUUUAUGACCCGAUGCUUAUUUAAAAGAAAAUAAAGAUGGCUAAAAAGAUUGUGACCGAGCCCUGGUAUUGAACUGCCUACAUAUCCUUGGCUAUAAAAGAUUCAGGUCAUGUGUAGUUUAGAAGUGAGAAGAGCGAUGGAGUAUACCAAGGUGGAGAGCCGAUUGAGGUGCCGUCGAGGUUCCGGUCCACGGUUCUUGCCAUUACAUCCAAAAUAAAAGGAUCUAUUACAGCGAAAAUAAAAGAAAAAUACAAGAUCCUAUCUACUUCUUGUCUCGAAUCUUCCUUGGAUCUCCACUUGAUCCUUCAACAUGAAAUUGAAAAUUCACCCUAUUCUUCAGGUUGGUAUCCUACUGACUUGAAUUUGAAGAAAACUGGAAGUUGACCCUAUUCUUCAGGCGGGCACCCUGCUGCUUGCACUUGAAAUAAACUUGAACUUGUGGUAGACUUGAGCUUGAAAACCUUGUUCUUCAAGCGGCUCAUGCUACUUCUGAUUUGAAUUGAAAAACUGGAGGUUAACCCUAUUCUUCAGGAGGGAUCCUGCUGCCUCUGACUUGAACAUGAAAAUUGAAAGUUGACCCUGUUCUUCAAGCGGGCUCCUGAUGCCUCUCUAACUUGAACUUGAAAAUUGAAAGUUGAUCAUGUUCUUCAGACGGGCUCCUGAUGCCUCUCUAACUUGAACUUGAAAAUUGAAAGUUGACCAUGUUCUUCAGGCGGGCUCCUGAUGCCUCUCUAACUUGAACUUGAAAAUUGAAAGUUGACCCUGUUCUUCAGGUGGGCUCCUGAUGCUUCUCUGAUUUGAACUUAAAAUCGAUUUCUGAAAUAUUGACCCUCGUUCUCCAGGUGGGUGCCUGCAAUCAAAACAACAAAACAAACAAAAUUGUCUGCCCCAGUUUGCACUAGGAAGAUUUGUGAGCUGUUAGCAAAACUGUAAAUACCUAUGCUAUUAAUGAAAGAGAAGAGUAAAACUAAAGAAUCGACUAGGAUGUGCGUCUCCUAUGAGAUUGAGCUUUAGGAAAACUAUAAACGGAGCUUGACUAAACUUUAAAAUUGACCCUAUUCUCCAGGCGGGACCCCCGAGCUAAAGGAAAACUAAGAUUAACAACUUAAAAAAACUAAAAACUGACCCCAUUCUCUAGGCGGGACCCCUGAACUCAAGAAAAACUAAAGACUAACAAUUUAAGGAAACUAAAAACUGACCCUAUUCUCCAGGCGGGACCCCUGAACUUAAAGAAAGCCAAAGAUUAAUAACUUAAGAAAACUAAAAGUUGACCCUAUUCUCCAGGCUGGACCCUUGAACUCAAGAAAAGCUAAAGACUAACAACUUAAGGAAACUUAAAACUGACCUUAUUCUCUAGGCGAGACCACUGAACUUAAGGAAAACUAACGAUUCACAACUCAAGAAAACAAAAAACUGACCUUAUUCUCCAGGCGGGACCCCUGAACUAAAGAAAUGCUAAAGAUUAACAAUUUAAGAAAACUAAAAUUGACCCUAUUCUAUAGGCGGGACUCCUGAACUUGAGGAAAGCCAAAGAUAAGCAACUUAAGAAAAUUAAAACUGACCCUAUUCUCCAGGCGGGACCCCUGAAUUCCAGUAAAGCUAAAGACUAACAACUUAAGAAAAUUAAAAACUGACCCUAUUCUCCAGGCGGGACCCCUGACCUCAAGAAAAUCUAAAGAUUAACAGCUUAAGGAAACUAAAAAUUGACCACUUAGGAGAAACUAAGAAGUGACCCUAUUUUCCAGGCAGGAUCCUGAACUUAAAGAAAGCUAAAGACUCUUCCGACUAGAGAGACUGCCAAGGAGGUACGGUUCAUCUCAAGCAGGAAAACUUCUUGAGAGCUAAUGAUCUUCUCAACUAGGGGAAUGUCUAGGAGGUAAAAACCUUCUCAAACAGCCUUUGUGCUGAUAAAAUUUGGGCAUGACACUUGAAAAAUUCGAGCUUCCAAGCUUUGAUUUGGACAUAGUAUUCGUCCCUGUUUCAAACAAAGAAAACUUGUGAGUUUAAAACAUGGUGGUUGGUUUGUGGUCUUAACCUUGAGGGCGAUUGAUCUUACACUUGCCAUGAUAACUUUGAUUUCCAUUUGGAAGACCUUGCUUGUUAUUGGUUAACCACUUUUUCUGUCAACCCUUAUCACAGAAAGCACCUUUGAUCCAGUCAAUCCCAAUACCUUAUACCCGAAGCAUUGUGCUCAUGAAUGAUAUUUACCGAACCUUUGCAUUUCACAUGAAUACCAAAGCACGUCAAUUGUUAUCAACUCAAAGUGCAUACCACUUUUCCCUGACUUAUACCACUUUGAUGUGCUAGCCAGACUCCACUUUGUGCAAUUGGAAAGCUGGUAGCAAAUUUUGGAGUCAUUUCUCACUUGUUUUGACAAAACAAACUCAAAAAGAGGACUUAAACAAAGCAAGAGGAACAUAGUAAGGGAAUAAUGGAAAGAGAUGAUAUCUAACAAGAAAAUUACAAAGUUGAAACUUAUCUGAUGUGGAUACCAACUCCAAUGACCAUGACAUGCAUUUUGGGUUAAGAGGCCUAAUCUGUCAAGCAAGUCUAAUGUUCAACUGUUGUUAUACCUCUAAGCCGUGAAACUGGGCUUCAAUGCUCCGAUUAUCCUAUCUGAUUCACGAUCCUUAUUCAACUUGUAGUGCCCGAAGGGUCUUCACCAUCAAGCCUUUUUCAUUUUGUUCUUUCUCUCAAUUCAUCGUCGCUUAUGAUGCCCGUGAGAGUUUUCACCAAUAAGACUAUCUCAUUUUAUUCUUUUCUUCUUAUUUCCUCUGAUUCUGCAGAUGACAAGGGGUUAACCAUGGUAAAAAUAUCAUAUGCUCCUGGCACGACUAACUCGACACUCUCAAAGAUUAUCUGGAAGGUGGUUUUUGGAUUGUAAUGUGGCUUUUGGACAGGGUUAGAAAGAAAGGAUAUUAUAAAGGCUCAAAAUAACUAAGACAACAGAGUUAACUUAUUUGCAACUUUUGGAAUCCAUUUUAAAAAACUUUUCCCCAAUUUCUAAAACAAGAGAAUUUGAUGAGAUUAUGAAAUAUUUUAUUUGGUGCGACCAAAUCGUAAGGCUGCCUACGUAUCUUGUGGUGACAAGAAUCAGGUCGAACGUAGUUCAAAAGAAUACUUUUUGUUGUUGCUAUUUUUCUUUUUUCUUCUUUUUCCUCUUUUUUUUUCCUUUUUUCUUUUUGAAAUUUUCUUUUGGAAUGAACUUUCUAAAACAAACCUUAUGGGGGCAUGAUUUAUUUUUAGUGACUCUAACUCGAUUCCAAAAGAGGGGAGGUCAAAGAAAUCAACACUGGCUCAAAAGGGUACCUAAGGGCAUAAAGUGUUUGGGUAGCUGAAAGAGGGCCUCCCAAUCACUAAAAAUGCCAAGUACAACACAUGCAACUUGAGGGUGAAAUAUGAAGAUCAUGCAUAACAUUUCUUUUGCAGCAUCAGCAUUGAUAUCCCAGAUAUGCCUUCCAUCUUUGUUUAGUGUCAUGUCAAGUACAAAACUCUCAUUGGGUGAUUUCUUCUUCACAAUGAGUACUCUCCGUCAGUUUGGGAUAAACUUCCUUGGCUUUAUCUUGUAACUUGAGAUACACUUGAACUCAAAGUUGCUUGCUUCAAAUUGUCUAGGACGCACUCUCUUAUACCAAAUCCUUGUUGUCCUAUUAACUUCCCAAACUAUCUGCCCAGUUUCAUACAAUAUGGGCUUAAAAUGAUCUCAAAAUGUCCAAAUCUUUACUUAUUUCUCUCAAAUGUCCCUGUCAUAUUCAAACCUUGUUUCAUUAUUUCAUGAUUAGACUAAAUUUUAAGACCAGACUGAGAAUUCCACGUACAUGUCAUGUCACUAGAGUCAUCAUGAAAAGAACUAUAAACAGAAAAGAGAACCAAACAAAAAUGGACUAGAAAUAAUAGAAAACGGGAGAUUGCAUUAGACAGACGGUGAAAGGGUUUGAACAACAAAACAAGCAAAAUAGACAUGGGUUACAACCCUGGAACAAUCCUAGAUAACACUAGACGAGUUACUACAACUAAACGAACUAGGCAAAAUAAGAAGAAGAAGGAUUUGAGCCACAAGACAAUAUCCGGAUUACAACCCUGAAAUAACCCGGACAACAGAAAUGACCACAAAAUAAACCACCAAAACUCCUCCCUGGCUAGCCAAUAAAGGAGUGUCUUUCCAAUUACCAAGCUCGCGAUCUUAGCCACUGAGUCUCAAAUCAACAUUACUAGGACCUUCAUAAGUCUCCAUCACAUUAACCUCGGCAAGUGGCUUUGGGGUCCCCUUUGCCAACUCAUUCUUAAAAUUAACUUCUGGAACUGAGACUGAUAGCACUGAAAACUUUGCGGUAAGUGGCCUUCCAAGGGAUUCAGGAGAGUUUUCAUAUUCCUUUUCAACACAAAUAUUGCCCACCAUAUGCGUCUCAUUAUGAACAAGCAAUUGACUUUGGCUAGUAUCUGAUGCAUUUGGAUUUUGCACGAUAAUGUCACCUGCAUCAACAAGUUUCUGGACUUCUCUUUUCAGAUGCCAACACUUUUCUAUGCUGUGCCCCGGUGCAUUAGAGCAAUAUGCGCACCUUUGAGAAAAAUCAAAAUUCUUUGGAAGGGGGUUCGGCAUUUUUAUCUGAAUUGGCUUCAACAUAUCCAAUUGCCUCAACCUUUGGAACAAACUAGCAUAUGAUUUUCCAAUAGGAGUGAAAGACUUUUCUCUUUGCUGCUGCCUUUUCAUUUUGUACUCCAGCCUCGGUUGGAACCUCUUGCGCGUAGGUGAUUGACAUGCUUGAGGAGGCGGGUAAAAUAUUUGUGGAGGUGGUGCAUGCCAAUGCGAGUCUUGUGGAUGUGGAGCAUAUGGUGGUGCAUUAUGGAUAGAGUAGUGGGAAAGUGAGGUAUGACUUUGGGGAUUUUAUGGAGAGAAGUAGCAUUGGGGAGGAUUAUCUAGAGUACGUGGAUAUUCAUGGGGUCGAUGUUGAGGCUGAAAGCAUUGAGCAGGAACGCCCAUUGGAUCUUGUUGUUGGCGGGGCUCAACAACAUCAGGAGGGCUAUUUUUGGGAAAUGUAGUUGGAGGACGAACAAUGGAGCUACUACGGAGGUUAGGAAAGUUGUGAUAAGAGGGAAAAUUCGGAGAAUAUGGUAGAUCAUUUGACACUAUGACUGGAGCUUGGGUAAGGGUAGCAUCUAGGAAUCUAGGUGGUGGCGGGGGUGGUGCCUUCCCAGUCAUAGGAUGACCUGAUACAUGUCCGCUAUAUGUUGUCUCAACAUCCUUACCUUUUCAACCAACCCAAUGUCUUGUUCAACCAACUGGUUUCGGGUACCAGUAUCGACCAACUCAACUCUGUUGUCGUCUGCCAUUGCCUUUCAGACUUUAUGUUGCAGGGAAGAGUUACCAGUUUAAGAACCACAAACCAACCACCCUUUUGCUAUAAUAAAGAUAACAAAUAGGAACAAAAUGAAGUCAUCACGUUAGCGUUAGGGCAUUUAACAUAAUAUAAUCUCACGUUAUGUGCAAUGCACCUAGUCACAGUUAUUGGUUCUAAAAUGACUUCGCGGGCAUGAAGGUCAUAUGGCAUAAUCCCAAUUUUACUCUCAUUGCCCUUUCCUUCUUCAUUUCCUCUCUUGCGCUCCUUGAUUUGCUCAUUUCUUUCCUCUCUUUUCUUUUUGAUUAUCGCUCUUUUCUUGCAUUCCGCAGUUUCCUCUCAUUUUUCACAUCCCACAACUUCAUCUCUUUUCUUUUCUUUUUUUAAAAAAAAAUUAAAAAUGAUUUGAUCGAACUCGAUGUAGGUUGCCUACGUAUCAUGUUCCACAUGAAUCAGACCAAGCGUAGUUCUGGAAAAUUAUUGGACAAAAUUAAAAAAAAUAAGAAUCUUUUUGGAUUUUUUCACUUAUAAUAUUUGUUUGGUUUUCACAUACAAAAUAGGAAAUACGAUAACAAAAGACUCGACAAACUCAACUAGACUAGGAUAGACUCCGAAACCACCUAAAAUAUUCGAUACUACUGUACAAGACUAGAAAAUAUAAGGCGACAUGAAUGACAGACUCAAAACAUAAAAGUAUCCUCAAGCAACUCAUGAAUGCAGUGGUCCUGAUUGGAUGGUCCUGGGGCGUCUGUCAUGCUCAAGCUCCGGCAAAUGGAUAUAUACCAUAAAGAGAAGGAUAAGACCAAACAGAGUUGGUAACUCAGGACACUAUGUGACACUACAACUCCUCUUAUUGGAGACAUACAAGACAUGAUUGGGCUAUUUUUGCAAAAAAUGGCCUACGUGGCCAAAGGUGGCUAGAAGUGAAAACUCAAUUAGGACGACCUCGAAAACAUGAAAACACCUCACGAAGGCCUAUACGACCCCCGAUCUCCCAGGAAUCACGGUCUCUAAAAUUACUUUACAAAAAUGACCCGCUUUGCAUAAAUGACCUAUGUGGUAAAAAAAAUGGCUAAGCAUGCAAACUCAACAGGAAUGGACCUUUAAACUAAGAGGAUACCUUUUUGUGGACUCAUGACUCUGAGACAUGGGUUAACAAGCCACUUUGCAAAAAUAGUCUUAUUUUACAAAAAGGCCGAUGUGGCCAAAAGUGAUUAGACAUGCAAGAUUUGGCUACGACCCCCGAAGCCAAGAACAUAAGACUCACUAGGAAGACCAGACCCUAUGUGGGCUGCCUACGUAUCCCGCCCCUAAAGACGAGAAUCAGGUAUGCGUAGUUCAGGAAGAUUGGAUACAUGAGAGAAUUUAAAAAAAACACCAAUUUGGAGAAAACAUAUUUUUUGUCUUUUUAAAAAAAAAUGAUGAAUAUAAAAUCUUUUUGGAUUUUCUUUUUCUCUUUUUUUUAUUUUUUUUAUUUUUUGGAAAAUGAUGGGAAAGUGCAAAAUCUUUUUGGAUUUUUCAUUUUCAUUUUUGUUUUUGGUCUUUUCUUGAAAGAGUUGUGAAAGAAAAAUAUAAUUGGGCCCUACUUGAUUCAUCUUUAUACUUCACCCUCUUUUCUUUCUCAUUUACCCUCAACCAUCAUUUAUCCUCCAAAUGACCCAUUUACCCUUAAAGAAUUCAACAUGUAGCACAUAGGAAUGAUUAAAUGUGUUUUUGGGCCAUGGGACCAUCUGACAUAAUUUGGAUAGGUCUCCUACAAAGGGACACGGUGCCUAGGACCGAGCCCUGCUAGGUCUAAAUGACAUGAUACAAAUAAGAAUGACCUAAAGGCUAAACUACGUUUGGGGUUCACUAGACAAGGCAAUUUGGGGCGGCACGUGGUCAAUGGCGGCUGCUCUAGCUGUCCGCCCAUUCCACGCUCCCACGCCACCCCCCUAAAGACACGAGUGACUCACAAACGACCGUGUACGCUCAAACGUACUCCGGAAGACUUGUUGCAGAAAGAAGACUCAUGGUUAUGCAAAUGAUGCCAGUUAUAAAGCAGUAAAUACAUAAAAACUAGCAAAUAAUAACAAACUAUAAAAACAUAACAAAAAUCAAAUAAAGCAAAUAAAAAACAUAAAAACCUCUACCGAAUAUUCUAAAAAGCCAACAAGAUCGUAGAAUCAUCUCGAACAUGUAACUCCCCAGCAGAGUCGUCAAAGCUGUCACAUCUAUUUUUUUUACGUCACUAACCCCCUUUAAAAGAUAAAGAAGAUUUUUAAGCUCAAAAGGGUUUUCAAUUUGAAAGUGACAAAAAGAUUGUGUUUCAAAGUAUUUUCAGAGUCGCCACCUGACAUUUGAUUUCGGUGUGCCAGGUCACCGUUGAAAAAUAAUUUUUCCUUUUGAAAACACAUUUAAACUCUAAAAUAGAGUCUGCACCAGAGAUUCUAGAUAAGGGGGUUCAUUUGACUCGGGGAGAAGGUAUUAGGCAUUCCCCAAUUUCCGUAACUAGUACGGUUGCGUACUCGAUCAAGUUCGCUUUAAAGAAUAUUUUAAUUGAGGUAAAAACACAAAAAAGAAAAAUAAGUACAAAAGAGGCUCGAGGUCGUCCCCACCUAAUAAAAGAAAAAUAAGAGAAAAAAAAGGAAGUACUAAAAGAAAAAAUACUAAGAGUUAUAAUCUAUCCUACUAUAUGCUUCCUCCGCAAUGUAGCCCGGGUCUCCGUUUACAUUCACUUUAGGACAUACCCCGGAUAAAAAUAUAUACAAACUCUUCGGGGUAUUCCCCCGGUGAAACCAUAAUAAACUAAAGGGGAACGACCUCUUACCUCGUAAAUUCAAACAAAAUCCUAAGGUUUGCCUACCUAAGUGUGGUCGACCUAGGCAUGCUCAUACUCGAAAAAGUAAAUAAAACAAGACUAGAAGAACAAUACAAUUAUCUUGAACCUAAAUUUCUUUUAAUUUUACACAGCAAUCCAAAUAAUAAAAUCAAUCCAAAAUAAGUUUUUAAGUUGGAACUCCUUACUUCAUUAAAGCUAAAUCGCAUUCGGUUGAAGCCGUAAGAUAAAAAAAUAAUGCCAGCAAGCCUACUUUAAAGCAUGUACACAACAAAGAAAAACAUUCUUAUUUUCACUUUCACGUCAUUAGCCAAUCCAGUUACCAAACUCAAGCAAAUUUCAUCAAAGGAUCAAAAUGUAUCACAAAUAAUCAUGGAAACCAUAUGAAUCAACCAUUCAAACACAUAUAUCACAAAAAUCAAGAGGUAGAAUAUUAAAGAUAAAAAUGGACCUUUAAGUAGCUUUUCAAUAGCAGAAUUUUCUCCAAACAGCUUUACACUCGCUCAAGCGAGGAAAGAAUCCGUCGACGGGAACUCGACAGAGCAGCAAACAAUAAUAACUAUUGGACAGGAACCGCGAAUCAGCCCGUGAGCGAACGCAGAACUCGAAAACCUCGAACGGACCACCGUGUGUACUCAAUGAAGAAGAAAGACCCUAAAAAUAGACAGUGUAUCCAUGGUCCUAUGUGCCGCCGCAACUUAGUUCAUCGGUCCUUAACUCGUACUCAAUUCUCUCUCGACAUAAGCCAUGGUUUGUUCGGUAUGAGCAGAAAGCAGAAUAACAGGGUAUUUUUCGCAACGCGCUUAGCUUUUAUUAGUGGUUCGAUCAGAGAGUGAAAAACACAAAUAGGAGGAGAGAGAGAUAAAAUGGCAGUAGUCCGGCGGGUUUGAAAUGGCCGGUGGCGACAGAUUUGAGAGGAGGGAGUGUGGCCAUUUUGGACUUGCUGCUGACGGCGUCGCCACUCAACAAUGAUCAAUUUCGGCAAGGCAACAACUCGAGUGAGGGAGAUGGCAGAGGCGGGUGAAGAGAGUGGUCGUUAGGUGUUGAGGGGAUGCUGUUGUGUGUGUAUCUGUAUGCUCGAAUUUACGACGAGUGAUAGAACUGAGCAGCAGCCUUGUCUAUCAAAUGAAGAGAGAGCUUUGAAGAUGAAGAGGCGGCCGGAUUUUGGAGAGGAGGGGUGUGGCUCUCUUUAGAAUGGAGGAGUUCCCUUAGGGUUUUGGGGGUUAAUUUGAUUUUUAUAUGGUGGUGGGGAGUAAGUAUUGGCCAUUGGAUUAAACAUUAUGAGUGACGAAGAUUUAAUCUUGCAUUUAAGUGGAAAGUGGGAUAAUGGGUUAGAAAGAAUGGGCUUUUGUCUUGCUGGGCCACUAAAAUCUGAAAAUGAGCUCCUAAUUGGC
This 12308-nucleotide long non-coding RNA is filed under the name Nicotiana tabacum (common tobacco). RNAcentral describes it as "long non-coding RNA (NTAB_LNC010574)". Lineage: Eukaryota; Viridiplantae; Streptophyta; Magnoliopsida; Solanales; Solanaceae. The record is from RNAcentral.